This 435-nucleotide ribosomal RNA is filed under the name uncultured bacterium. RNAcentral's name for it is "bacterial SSU rRNA". It matches the Rfam family "Bacterial small subunit ribosomal RNA", at positions 29 to 510 of the family's 1533-position model. The record is from RNAcentral.
AACGAACGCUGGCGGCAUGCCUAACACAUGCAAGUCGAACGAGACCUUCGGGUCUAGUGGCGCACGGGUGCGUAACGCGUGGGAAUCUGCCCUUGGGUCCGGAAUAACUCAGAGAAAUUUGAGCUAAUACCGGAUGAUGACGUAAGUCCAAAGAUUUAUCGCCCAGGGAUGAGCCCGCGUAGGAUUAGCUAGUUGGUGAGGUAAAGGCUCACCAAGGCGACGAUCCUUAGCGGUCUGAGAGGAUGAUCAGCCACACUGGGACUGAGACACGGCCCAGACUCCUACGGGAGGCAGCAGUGGGGAAUAUUGGACAAUGGGCGAAAGCCUGAUCCAGCAAUGCCGCGUGAGUGAUGAAGGCCUUAGGGUUGUAAAGCUCUUUUACCCGGGAUGAUAAUGACAGUACCGGGAGAAUAAGCCCCGGCUAACUCCGUGCCA